CUCGUAGGCGGUUCGUCGCGUCCGGUGUGAAAAGUCCAUCGCCUAACGGUGGAUCUGCGCCGGGUACGGGCGGGCUGGAGUGCGGUAGGGGAGACUGGAAUUCCCGGUGUAACGGUGGAAUGUGUAGAUAUCGGGAAGAACACCAAUGGCGAAGGCAGGUCUCUGGGCCGUUACUGACGCUGAGGAGCGAAAGCGUGGGGAGCGAACA
RNAcentral lists this ribosomal RNA (208 nucleotides) under uncultured bacterium. Its description in RNAcentral is "partial 16S ribosomal RNA". It matches the Rfam family "Bacterial small subunit ribosomal RNA", at positions 568 to 774 of the family's 1533-position model. The record is from RNAcentral.